UACAGAGGGUGCGAGCGUUGUCCGGAAUUACUGGGCGUAAAGGGCGCGUAGGCGGCCCGGUGCGCGUGCCGUGAAAGCCCGGGGCUCAACCCCGGGUCGGCGGUGGGGACGGCCGAGCUGGAGCCCAUCAGAGGCAGGCGGAAUUCCGGGUGUAGCGGUGGAAUGCGUAGAGAUCCGGAAGAACACCGGUGGCGAAGGCGGCCUGCUGGGGUGUGGCUGACGCUGAGGUGCGAAAGCGUGGGGAGCAAACAGG
RNAcentral lists this ribosomal RNA (253 nucleotides) under uncultured bacterium. Its description in RNAcentral is "partial 16S ribosomal RNA". It matches the Rfam family "Bacterial small subunit ribosomal RNA", at positions 524 to 776 of the family's 1533-position model. The record is from RNAcentral.